GUUAACUUUGUAGUUUUAACUGCUUUAUAGGCUGUGCUUUUGCUGGAGGUUUAGGGGUGCUCUUGAUCGAGUGUCUCUGGAUGCCAGCAGGUUUACUUUGAAAAAAUUAGAGUGCUCAAAGCAGGCUAAAAUGCCUGAAUAUUCGUGCAUGGAAUAAUAGAAUAGGAUGUCGAUCCUAUUUUGUUGGUUUUCGGGACUCGACAUAUUGAUAAAUAGGGACAGUCGGGGGCAUUUGUAUUCAAACGACAGAGGUGAAAUUCUUGUGACCGUUUGAAGACA
This 279-nucleotide ribosomal RNA is filed under the name uncultured marine eukaryote. Its description in RNAcentral is "partial 18S ribosomal RNA". The stretch from base 74 to 279 matches the Rfam family "Eukaryotic small subunit ribosomal RNA", at positions 733 to 937 of the family's 1831-position model. The record is from RNAcentral.